This is a long non-coding RNA of Lynx canadensis (Canada lynx), 315 nucleotides long. RefSeq lists it as uncharacterized. The record is from RefSeq and is a predicted model, not a curated record. The transcript has 2 exons. NCBI's taxonomy places the organism in Eukaryota, Metazoa, Chordata, Mammalia, Carnivora, Felidae.
CGGCCGCGGAAGGGGCCCCGCAGAGUGCGGCGCUGCCUUCCUGCCUUCCGGGCACACAGGUGCCCGCCCUUCCCUCGCUCGGUCCAGGCGGCCUCCCCAGAAGGGGGCAACCCUCCACCUGAGAAGUCACAGCCCCGGGACCACCACCCUCCCCGCGGGCUGGAGAGCUCCCGAUGCUUCCCAGAGGCGGCAAAGAAGCCAGCCGAAUGCAGAGGAAGCAAGAGAAGACUCCACGAUGGAAGAAGCCUGAAUCCCCUCCCAGGACAGUUCACAGUCCCAGUGUCUCAGGGAGAAAAUAAACCUGUAUGGUCGUAA